Molecule: long non-coding RNA, 1458 nt
Organism: Eupeodes corollae
Lineage: Eukaryota; Metazoa; Arthropoda; Insecta; Diptera; Syrphidae
Exons: 6
Source: RefSeq, a predicted model, not a curated record
ACAUAUAGCAGGUAAUAUAUUGCGCAGGUUGUCAAAAUCUGAUCUGUCACUUUGGCAGCUCAAAUUAAAAAUGGCGGAAAUGAGAGACAUGAAUCUGUUGUGCUGUGAAAUAAAUCAACUAAAAUGUAUGGGAAAAGAAUUUGUUUUGUUUUAUUUUUAUAAAAUUCAAGCAACCCGAAAACAAAAUCACAAAAUAAAAGAAACAAUUUAAACAAAAGCAAUAGAUUCGAGUUAAAGGAUAUGCCUAUAGGCAGCUUGUGAAUAAGCCAGGAAGACAAGAAUUUCAACACAGAUGGACUACCAAAUUUCACGAAAUUCUUAUUUUGAAGAUUAGCAAUAAUCAAUCUAUACAUUAAAAUAAUCGGACAUGCUUUGGAGAACCCAAAACUUCCAGAAUUACUGCACAAAGAGGGCCUAGUGUUUCUUGGGCCACCUGAGAGAGCUGUGUGGGCUCUUGGUGACGAAGUUGUAUCGUCAAUUGUUGCACAGACUGCGGCAUUCCAACUCUUCCGUGGUCGGGUUCUGAGCUAAAAGCCCAAUACCCUGGAAACAAAAUUAAAAUUUCUACUGAUCUGUUCAAUCGUGGCUGUGUGAAUAAUUUUGAACAGGGAAUAGCUGGUGUUGCGAAAAUUGACUUUCCUGUCAUGAUUAAAGCAUCUGAAAGUGGUUGAGGCAAAGGUAUUCGGUGGGCAGACACCGCUGAAGAAUUUCCCGCCUUGUUCCGUCAAGUUCAGGCUGAAGUUCCUGGUUUGCUAAUUUUUGUUAUGAAGUUGGCGCGUGUUGCUAGACAUAUCCAGGUUCAAUUAUAAGCUGAUCAAUAUGACAAUGCCAUUAGUUUGUUCGGUCGUGAUUGUUCUAUACAGCGACGCCACCAAAAGAUUAUAGAAGAAGCACCCACAAUCGUUUAGCAAAAAUGGUGGGCUAUGUGAAUGCAAGAACUGUGGAAUACCUGUAUGAUACUUCGGAUCGGUAUGGGUGUUCCGUUCUAUCGCCUGAAAGACAUUCGCCUGCUGUAUGAAGAAUCUCCUUGGGGAACAUCGAUUAUUGACUUUGACAAUCCUGCGAAUAAACCUGUUCCUUUGGGACACGUUAUUUCAGCUCGUAUUACUUCAGGGCUAUUUCAGUGUUGCUGCAUUAGGUGGCUUGCAUGAAUUCAACAAGGGACAAGCAUAUGAUGAGAUCGAAGUGAUGAAAAUGGCAAAUACACUGACUGACAUCAGCUGAAGCGGGUACUGCAACGUUCAUCCGCCGUCCAGGAGCUGUGCUUGAUGCCACUAGACCAUUUGGAGCUCGACAAGUGUGUUGGACCAAGAUAAACAAAUUCGACGCAUCGAUUUUUUACUAUGUGCAUAUAUCUUUUUGUGAUAAAUUUGUAUUUGGAUGACAGUGACGAAAAUUACUUAUUGCCACGUUAUACUUACAAACACCUAUAAGCCACAAUUCUCAAUAAAAAAACAA